This 785-nucleotide ribosomal RNA is filed under the name uncultured Methanogenium sp. RNAcentral describes it as "bacterial SSU rRNA". It matches the Rfam family "Archaeal small subunit ribosomal RNA", at positions 1 to 793 of the family's 1478-position model. The record is from RNAcentral. Lineage: Archaea; Methanobacteriati; Methanobacteriota; Methanomicrobia; Methanomicrobiales; Methanomicrobiaceae.
UUUCCGGUUGAUCCUGCCGGAGGCCACUGCUAUCGGGGUUCGAUUAAGCCAUGCGAGUCGAGAGGGUUUAGACCCUCGGCGGACUGCUCAGUAACACGUGGAUAACCUGCCCUAAGGUGGAGGAUAACCCCGGGAAACUGGGGAUAAUACUCCAUAGAUUAGAGAUACUGGAAUGUUCUUUAGUCAAAAGUUCUGGCGCCUUAGGAUGGAUCUGCGGUCGAUUAGGUUGUUGUUGGGGUAACGGCCCAACAAGCCUGUAAUCGAUACGGGUUGUGGGAGCAAUAGCCCGGAGAUGGAAUCUGAGACAAGAUUCCAGGCCCUACGGGGCGCAGCAGGCGCGAAAACUUUACAAUGCAGGAAACUGUGAUAAGGGAACCCCGAGUGCCCGUAUACGCGGGCUGUCCAGGUGUUUAAAAGUCAUCUGAAGAAAGGGCCGGGCAAGACCGGUGCCAGCCGCCGCGGUAAUACCGGCGGCUCGAGUGGUGGCCACUAUUAUUGGGCUUAAAGCGUCCGUAGCUGGACUGAUAAGUCUCUUGGGAAAUCCGCCGGCUCAACCGGCGGGCGUCUAAGGGAUACUGUUGGUCUAGGGACCGGGAGAGGUGAGAGGUACUCCGGGGGUAGGAGUGAAAUCCUGUAAUCCCCGGGGGACCACCGAUGGCGAAGGCAUCUCACCAGAACGGCUCCGACAGUGAGGGACGAAAGCUGGGGGAGCAAACCGGAUUAGAUACCCGGGUAGUCCCAGCCGUAAACUAUGCGCGUUAGGUGUGCUGGUGACCACGUGUCAC